AGAGUUUGAUCCUGGCUCAGAACGAACGCUGGCGGCAGGCCUCAUACAUGCAAGUCGAGCGGUAAGGUCCCUUCGGGGGCCCUAGAGCGGCGAACGGGUGAGUAAUAGGUGGAUAAUCUACCUUUUGGUGGGGGAUAACGGCUGGAAACGGCCGCUAAUACCGCGUAUGGUUGCCGGGUCUAUGACCUGGCAAAGAAAGGGGCCUUUAAAGCCUCGCCAAGAGAUGAGUCCGCCUCCCAUUAGCUAGUUGGUGAGAUAACAGCCCACCAAGGCGACGAUGGGUAACCGAGCUGAGAGGUUGAUCGGUCACACUGGAACUGAGACACGGUCCAGACACCUACGGGUGGCAGCAGUAGGGAAUAUUGGGCAAUGGGCGCAAGCCUGACCCAGCCAUGCCGCGUGGACGACGAAGGCCUUCGGGUCGUAAAGUCCUUUUCUGAGAGAAGAAUCGCCGGGGCAGGAAAUGGUCUCGGUCUGACGGUAUCUCAGGAAUAAGCAACGGCUAACUCCGUGCCAGCAGCCGCGGUAAUACGGAGGUUGCAAGCGUUGUUCGGAAUAACUGGGCGUAAAGGGGGCGCAGGCGGCUUGGUAAGUCUGAAGUGAAAUCCCGGGGCUCAACCCCGGAACUGCUUUGGAUACUGCCGAGCUUGAGUACGUGAGAGGAGAGUGGAAUUCCAGGUGUAGCGGUGAAAUGCGUAGAUAUCUGGAGGAACACCGGUGGCGAAAGCGGCUCUCUGGCACGUUACUGACGCUCAGGCCCGAAAGCAUGGGGAGCAAACGGGAUUAGAUACCCCGGUAGUCCAUGCCGUAAACGUUGUGCGCUAGGUGUAGGAGGUAUCGACCCCUUCUGUGCCGCAGCCAACGCAUUAAGCGCACCGCCUGGGGAGUACGGUCGCAAGACUGAAACUCAAAGGAAUUGACGG
Molecule: ribosomal RNA, 923 nt
Filed under: uncultured bacterium
Lineage: Bacteria
Description: bacterial SSU rRNA
Rfam family: Bacterial small subunit ribosomal RNA
Source: RNAcentral